GAUGAAGAACGUAGCGAAAUGCGAUAAGUAAUGUGAAUUGCAGAAUUCAGUGAAUCAUCGAAUCUUUGAACGCACAUUGCGCCCGCUAGUAUUCUGGCGGGCAUGCCUGUCCGAGCGUCAUUUCAACCCUCAAGCCCCCGGGCUUGGUGUUGGGGAUCGGCGAGCCUCCGCGCCCGCCGUCCCCUAAAUCUAGUGGCGGUCUCGCUGUAGCUUCCUCUGCGUAGUAGCACACCUCGCACUGGGAAACAGCGCGGCCACGCCGUUAAACCCCCAUCUUCUGAACGUUUGACCUCGGAUCAGGUAGGAAUACCCGCUGAACUUAAGCAUAUCAAUAAGCGGAGGA
Molecule: unclassified non-coding RNA, 343 nt
Filed under: soil metagenome
Description: partial contains 5.8S ribosomal RNA, internal transcribed spacer 2, and large subunit ribosomal RNA
Rfam family: 5.8S ribosomal RNA (bases 1-120)
Source: RNAcentral